GGGAAAACUUGUUGGAAAGAAGUCCACUGCUGCCACCUACUGGCGACUGUGAGAGCUGCCUGAAGAUGUGUCAUUCUUUGAUGAUGUCAUCAGUGAGAGCCCUCAGCUGAAUCAAGGCAUGGUCAGAGCUGCUGCAUUUUGUUCUGCUCACGAUAAAGUGGGUCUUUAACGGCAUUGUCGUUUUACCCGACUCCAUAUGACCUCAAUAAAGGAGUACAAGUUUCAA
Solea senegalensis (Senegalese sole) is the source of this 226-nucleotide long non-coding RNA. RefSeq lists it as uncharacterized. Lineage: Eukaryota; Metazoa; Chordata; Actinopteri; Pleuronectiformes; Soleidae. The record is from RefSeq and is a predicted model, not a curated record. The transcript has 2 exons.